CUUGAACUCAGUUCCGGUACCUCUCAGGUGGGCGCCCUUAUGAGAGAAUAAGGGAGGUGUUCAUGGUGAGUUCUGGCACCUCUUUUUCCAGAAAAAAAUAGCACAGGGUAAUAAUAAUAAUAAUAAUAAUAAUAAUAAUAAUUUAUACCCCGCCCAUCUGGCUGGGUUUCCCCAGCCACUCUGGGCGGCUUCCAACCAAAUAUUAAAAACAAUACAGCGUCAGACAUUAGAAACUUCCCUAAACAGGGCCACCUUCAGUUGUCUUUUAAAAGUAAAAUAUUUGUUUAUUGCCUUGACAUUGGCUGGGAGGGCGUUCCACUGGGCAGGCAGCACUACCAAGAAGGCCCUCUGCCUGGUUCCCUGUAACCUCACUUCUUGCAGCGAGGGAACCACCAGAAGGCCCUCGGCACUGGACCUCAGUGUCUGGGCUGAACGAUUGGGAUGGAGACGCUCCUUCAGGUAUACAGGACCGAGGCCGUUUAGGGCUUUAAAGGUCAGCACCAACACUCUGAACUGUGCUCGGAAACAUACUGGGAGCCAAUGAAGAUCUUUCAGGACCGGUGUUAUAUGGUCUCGGCGGCCACUCCGUCACCAGUCUUGCUGCCACAUUCUGGAUUAACUGCAGUUUCCAAAUCACCUUCAAAGGUAGCCCCAUGUAGAGCGCAUUGCAGUAGUCCAAGCUGGAGAUAACUAGAGCAUGCACCACUCUGCAGCAUCACCUAACCUCCCCGCACAGAAAUCAGAAUGAAUCCCCAUCAAGUAGCCCGUAUUGUCUACCCUCCCUGCUAACCAUUCGGGAUGAACGUUCAAUAAACAAGUCAUACCAAAGUGCCUUCAGAGUGGAACAAGAUGCUGACCACAAGGAGAAGAUGUGGUCGCCAACCUUGGUUCAGAGAUACCAAAUAACUGCGGGAGGGAAUUGGCAGGGAGGUGGAGGACAUCCCAUGUUGACUAAUUCUCUCCUGGACUCUGAAAUCAGAAGUCGAGUAUAGGGGGAUGGGUGCAUUUGCGGGAAAAGAAUCGACGGCUGCGGGAGGGGUUAAGCACCUACGCCGCUGGCACAAUUCUUCCCCGCGAGCCCCUACCUCUGCAUUCACACUUGAGCAUUGCUUCGUUGUUGUUUUUCCCAUUUCCAGAAAGUAUGGACUUGGAACGAAGCGAUGUCUACAGAUACGAUGUGACAGGGAAGAACAUACAGGGGGGAAUACUUCCUCCGUGAAUUCCUGAUCAAGCCCAGAUGAUGUGGUUUUUGUGUGUGUGAAGCUCUGCUUGCCUGGUCCGGUUCUGGUUCUCUGCUUUCAGCUCUUGUUUCAAAUCCUCUUGCUGUUUGGGG
Podarcis lilfordi (Lilford's wall lizard) is the source of this 1333-nucleotide non-coding RNA. NCBI's taxonomy places the organism in Eukaryota, Metazoa, Chordata, Lepidosauria, Squamata, Lacertidae. The record is from the annotation of a GenBank genome assembly.